Sphaeroforma arctica JP610 is the source of this 46-nucleotide non-coding RNA. The record is from Rfam. Lineage: Eukaryota; Ichthyosporea; Ichthyophonida.
UACCUGGUCUUUUUUAAGACCACCCUAUCAUUUAAGAAAUGUAUCU